Long non-coding RNA from Felis catus (domestic cat), 2105 nucleotides. RefSeq lists it as uncharacterized. NCBI's taxonomy places the organism in Eukaryota, Metazoa, Chordata, Mammalia, Carnivora, Felidae. The transcript is spliced from 3 exons. The record is from RefSeq and is a predicted model, not a curated record.
GGACCCAAGGAGGAAAGCCACGGGCCGAGACAGCGAAGGGACACGACAGCUACAGCCGCAGCAGCACACUUUCUGGACACGCAGCACUCGCACCCGGGGCUCUGAGCUCUUCACAUGGGAACUCGCUCGGGCCACACGGCAACCACGGCCAUCGGUGCCGUUCCGUCCCCAGUUCCCACGUCUACACAAAGGCCCCGUGCGGCGGGUGAGGGGCAGAACCCGGCUCUGAACCCAGGCAGCCAGGCUCCCUCAUGGGAAAGAGCCGCAAACCUCCCCACGGGACAGCAGGACGGCCGCCACGUUCAGGUCCCACGUGGGACUCUGCCCCUGGAGAAGCACCUCCAGACCCGCGACGCUCAGCAGCCACGCCAGGGCAACAACUCCCAGUACCACCACCAACGCAACCCUCUUUCCCACACUCCAGACAGACGUGUCCUAGCCCACAGGCGUCGUCCCACCUCUCAACCACCUGCUUCUAGGCUACAGCCUGCCCGGGACAAUGACAGCACAUCCCCCUUGGUGCCCAGGACCCCGGGAACAGGCCAGACUUCUCCUCCCCCGCUCCAGUCACCCCCACGCCCUCUGCGUCACCCUCCUCACCGCCUCACGGGGCCGGCCCUGCCUUGGCCUGCCUCUGGGCCCGCUCCCGUCAGCCCGCGAUGCCUCCCUGUGUGCCCUGUCCCGUCUUCUCUCAGCCUCACCCUACACCUGCCUUCCUCGGGGACCUGAACUAAGGCCAAAGCUGUAGUGACCUUCCAAAAGGUACAACAAGAACGUGUCCCAUGCGGUUUCAGGAGGGAGGCGAAACCCCUAGCAGGGGUGCGGGCUGGACAGCCCCGUGCACUCCGCCAGGCCUCUGGGUCACGGAGGCAGUCUGCAAGACCGGGCUCCCAGCCGUGGCUCAGACCUAGAACGGCUCACGCACGUGCAGCAAACCCAGCACUCAAGCGCCUACGGCUUCUUACCCCUGAAGCUUCAACCCCUUAAAUUCAUAAAUUCCCAAACCUUCCUGGCACAGAGCCCUCUUCCAUGACUGUUCUGAGCACAUUAUACACUCCGGUUGCGACACCCCACUCACGGGGAGCCCCUAGGCUUUGGUGCCGCCUAAGCGGCUGUAUUUACCACGCUCCACGUCUGGAGGAGCUCUGCACCCUGCUACCCCUACCUCUGAGAUCAUGAGAAGCCUCCUGACCUCCUCCCCCAACCUUCCUUCCUGAGGCUGACGGCACCUCCGGAGCCCGUCCAAGACGAUGGGCCCAUUCGAAGGACAGAACUGCUGAACGGGCCUCAUGCUACGGAGGCGUGGGGCGCAGGCACGACAAGCAUGAGCCGCAUCGUUUCCAAACAAGUCGAGCCUGCAGAACAAGAACGAGCCUUGCACCCAAGGAGGCAAACCCCUGUCCCGCCUGGACAUCACUGAGCUGGUGGUCUACAUCCCCAGGUGGCCUUCCAGGGAGACCUGGAAAGAAUAUUCAAACAAGAGCAAAAGACAAAAGUCGCUUGGCCCACAGCACCAUCUGGCAUUUCUCCUGCGCGGACACCAGAGGGCUGACGCGUGCUCCCGCGACGGCACAUCACCCGCUGAGGUUGGCAUUUCUCCUGCGUGGACACAAGAGGGCUGACGCGUGCUCCCGCGACGGCACAUCGCCCGCUGAGGCUGGAAGCAACGCCGGACGAGUCCACGCAGUGGCACAGAGGACGGACACGGAGCAGGGUCCGCGCGGGACAGGACCCCUCUCGCAGACCUUAGCACCUCUGAGCAGUCACAGCCCUGCCCGGGCACCAGGGAAGCCUGAGACGGCGUCACAACUGUGCGUGGCCUUUCCUCACCAUGGACAGGGUGGGGACAGGCUAUGGAAGCCAAGGCACAGAGACCACACCAGCGUGAGGAGACCCGGCUGCCCCCAGAACCACUGGGCGGGAAGCCUGCUUCAGGGCCCGGAGCCAGCAGCUCAGGCCACACGGGGACAAGCGGGAACAGCCAAGCAGGAACAGCCAAGCGGGACACACUUAUGACAGUUCAGCACACAGAGCGUGUGGCCAGCUGGGCUGCCGUGAAGGCCAGCUAGGCCUCUCCUCGCUAAGAAAACCCAGAAGUAUGCGUA